RNA transcript from Hyaena hyaena (striped hyena), 2858 nucleotides. It is a transcript of the gene named dopamine receptor D1, with no coding region annotated. The transcript is spliced from 2 exons. The record is from RefSeq and is a predicted model, not a curated record. NCBI's taxonomy places the organism in Eukaryota, Metazoa, Chordata, Mammalia, Carnivora, Hyaenidae.
GGAGUGAGGCAUGUAUUUUCAGCUGCACUUCCGAAAAGGGAGAAUUCUGUCACCGCCAGAGAGGCAACAGCCCCCAAAUGUGACUACGAUCGACUAGAGCGACUAGAGCCGCAGAGGCCUGGGAAUCUCUCUGGAUUGGUAGCUUAGAAUAUGCUAAAGAGCCAGUGCUUUCCUCGGGGAAUAGAAGGGUCAGCUGGUCAACGCAGCAGUGCCCUGGAGCAAGGGAGCCAGAAGACAGUUCUAGGGAGCAAGAGGGACCUUCCGAGGGGCUGACUUGGGGUGCCAAGGUUGCAGCCCCUCUGAUGGGAUGCUGGUGAGGUCCUGGGGCCCAGGGAGCCAGUGGGACUGUGCAAGGGGCUGCCCGGUGGGUGAGAACUGCAGGUGUGACAGACCUCUCCUCCCUGCUUAGGAACUGGAGGGUGUCAGAGCCCCCUGUCCCCCUCCGCAAGAUGAGGACUCUGAACACCUCUACCAUGGACGGGGCCGGGCUGGUGGUGGCGAGAGACUUCUCCUUCCGCAUCCUUACAGCCUGUUUCCUGUCUCUGCUCAUCCUGUCCACCCUCCUGGGGAACACGCUGGUCUGUGCGGCCGUCAUCAGAUUCCGACACCUGCGGUCCAAGGUGACCAACUUCUUUGUCAUCUCCUUGGCCGUAUCGGACCUCCUGGUGGCUGUUUUGGUCAUGCCCUGGAAAGCAGUGGCAGAGAUUGCUGGCUUCUGGCCCUUUGGGUCCUUCUGUAACAUCUGGGUGGCCUUUGACAUCAUGUGCUCCACCGCGUCCAUCCUCAACCUCUGUGUGAUCAGUGUGGACAGGUAUUGGGCCAUCUCUAGCCCCUUCCGGUACGAGAGAAAGAUGACCCCCAAAGCAGCCUUCAUUCUGAUCAGCGUGGCGUGGACUUUGUCUGUACUCAUCUCCUUCAUCCCAGUGCAGCUCAGCUGGCACAAGGCCAAACCCACAGGCUCCUCCGACGGGAAUGCCACUUCCCUAGGUGAGACCAUGGACAACUGUGAUUCCAGCCUGAGCAGGACAUAUGCCAUUUCAUCCUCCCUGAUAAGCUUCUAUAUUCCCGUGGCCAUCAUGAUCGUCACCUACACCAGGAUCUACAGGAUCGCCCAGAAACAAAUACGGCGCAUCUCAGCCUUGGAGAGGGCCGCAGUCCAUGCCAAGAAUUGCCAGACCGCCACAGGUAACGGCAACCCUGUGGAGUGUUCUCAACCAGAAAGCUCCUUUAAGAUGUCCUUCAAAAGAGAGACUAAAGUCCUGAAGACCCUGUCCGUGAUCAUGGGGGUGUUUGUGUGCUGCUGGCUCCCUUUCUUCAUCUUGAACUGCAUGGUGCCCUUCUGUGGGUCUGGGGAGACCAAGCCCUUCUGCAUCGAUUCCAUCACCUUCGACGUGUUUGUGUGGUUCGGGUGGGCUAAUUCCUCCUUGAACCCCAUCAUUUAUGCCUUUAAUGCGGAUUUUCGGAAGGCAUUUUCAACUCUUUUAGGCUGCUACAGACUUUGCCCCACCACCAAUAAUGCCAUAGAGACAGUCAGCAUCAAUAACAACGGGGCUGUGGUGUUUUCCAGCCAUCACGAGCCCCGAGGCUCCAUUUCCAAGGACUGCAAUCUGGUUUAUCUGAUCCCACAUGCAGUGGGCUCCUCCGAGGACCUGAAGAAGGAGGAGGCGUGUGGAAUGGCCAGACCCUUGGAGAAGCUGUCCCCGGCCCUAUCUGUCAUAUUGGACUCUGACGCUGAUGUGUCUCUGGAGAAGAUCCAGCCCAUCACACAAAAUGGACAGCAUCCAACCUGAACCCUGAGAUGAGUCCUGCCAGAUGGGUUCACCCCAAAAGGUGGAGAUUUUCAGUGGCUUGCUGUUAGGAGACUAAGGUGUGGGGAGACCCUGAGAUGUCAGGCAAGCCCCACCCCCCACCCCUCUGCUGCUUGCCCUCAACACACAACUAACUAUAUCUUCAAAUACUUCCCAGUGCGUUUUCUGUGUUGUUCAUAGUGAAUCAAAGAGGGACAUAUGUGAAGUGAAUGUUCACAGGGACGUGUCUUUGGCUCCAAAAUUAUUUUUAGAAACUGGUUCUUAUCUUAGGACUUCACAUAUAGGGCAAAGAAUCCACAAUGAACGGCAUCGCUUCAAAAAGUUAAUCCUUUCCAGGAAGGAAAUGAGAAGGGUUGAGUUUGCUGUGUAUUAACAGGUGCUAACACUGGUCCGGGCAGAGUUUUCAGAUGGUCAAGUGUCAGAUAGCUUUUCUGAACAAAACAGACUGCCGUCCUGGUUAAAUAUGUGUCGUGAAGACAAUAGGUUUCCUUCACUCUUGCUUUACAACAGUCUCACCAAUGGACAGAGGUCAAAGGCUGCAUCUCCAUCUUUCCGGGUCAAAUCACACCACUCAGUGGGGUGACUUUUUGUAGCGCUUUGAUCGGAAUUUAGGAUUGAUUUUUUUUUUUUUUUUUAAGUCUCGAUGUGAAUAGUGUACUAACUAACGAAUAGUGCCUCAUUAUCAUCCUCAAGUUAGACACUUAUUUCUCUUGCUGGGAAAAAACAGGAGACCCCUUCUCAGUUGGAUGUGUGAAGUGCCCCAAAGCCAUCAGUAUCUCUUUUGCCAAAUGCUAGCUCCCUCUCUGUGCUUUGGAAUCAAGUUGCUAUCUCAUCAUCUCAACUGUAGGAAGUAUCAGGAGUCUCUGUUGCCAGAUACUCAUUCAUGUGGGGCAUUUCAGGAGGAUUUCUUUGAAAUGUUUACAAAGUCUUGUUGAUAAGCAAUUUACUUAACAUUUAGAUGAAAUGGGUAACAAGAAAGAAAUCUACUGCAAACUCUCUCUUGCAUCAGGUCUGUGUUAUUUAUGCAUUGUGAAUGUUUCUUCAUUUUAU